Molecule: ribosomal RNA, 705 nt
Filed under: Rhinebothriidae sp. 3 JB-2023
Lineage: Eukaryota; Metazoa; Platyhelminthes; Cestoda; Rhinebothriidea; Rhinebothriidae
Description: partial large subunit ribosomal RNA
Source: RNAcentral
AACAGUACGUGAAACCGCAUGCAGGUAAACGGGUGGCGUCAAGCUGCACACCUGGAGAAUUCAGUCGGCUAGGAUGUUGUGUAUGCGCCUGUGCAUCUAUCAGUCGGUGUAAGAUUGGACGGUCUACUGGAAGACAGUGGGCCCUGCCGCAAGGUGGGGAUGUGUGUACCGGGCGGAAGCCGGAGCAUGCCGUUCGUCUGUUGGACUGCCUAGCCGGUGCACUUUCUCUGUGGUGGACACCACGACCGGUGGAACUGCCAGUCUGCUAUGGUCAAGUCGUGCUCGGUGCGUCCUUGUGGCAAACUGGGUGCGAUCACGGGCAAAUUCGGUGUACGGCGUGGAUGCGUCUUUCGAGGCGUGUUCACGUGCUAUCGGCCACUGGUUGUCUUAACGGGCCUGCCUAGCGGUUGUUGUAGCCGUCGUUGGGUGGUCUGGUGGACUAUAGCGGUAAGAAUAACUGUGCAGGGCACCGGGUUCAUCGGCCUCAAAUGCAGUCCGCAUGCGUGCUAUAAGUGUGUCAAUGUGGGUGUCGUGUCAGCCUGCCUGUUGCCGAGUCUGACGGUCGUGUUGCCUGCGAAAAGUGGGUCCGGCUGUGGCUUGGUGCAGGUUGGAGUUGCGCGCGGCGCCUACUGUGUGGACUGUGGUGGGCCAGAUAGUCAGUGGUGUAGUGGUAGACGAGCUACCCGACCCGUCUUGAAACACGGA